RNAcentral lists this ribosomal RNA (253 nucleotides) under uncultured bacterium. RNAcentral describes it as "partial 16S ribosomal RNA". It matches the Rfam family "Bacterial small subunit ribosomal RNA", at positions 524 to 776 of the family's 1533-position model. The record is from RNAcentral.
UACGGAGGGUGCAAGCGUUAUCCGGAAUCACUGGGUUUAAAGGGUGCGUAGGCGGCUUGGUAAGUCAGAGGUGAAAGCCCGCAGCUUAACUGCGGAACUGCCUUUGAUACUGCCGAGCUUGAAAGAGGUUGAGGUCAGCGGAACGUGACAUGUAGCGGUGAAAUGCAUAGAGAUGCCACAGAACACCGAUUGCGAAGGCAGCUGACUGGACCCGAGUUGACGCUGAGGCACGAAAGAGUGGGGAGCGAACAGG